UACGUUAGUACAAAGUACUUCUGUUGUGAAGCUGACUUUUGCUAACGGCAAGCAGCGCAGCUGUUUACUUCACAAUGACGAAGCCACAAAUUUUGUGACCAAGCACACUCGUGUAUGGUAACUCUAAUUCGAGUCACAAGACUAAGCAUUAUAAUCAACCGCCUCCAGCACGAGGCUUCGGCUCUGGUUGUGAGAGCGGACGGGUUGCUCAUCCCCUUUAGGGGAUGAGCCAGAACGCACGCUAAGAAUAUGUCAGAACUAUAGUUAAACGCGUAGCUCUGACGUAGCGUUUUAUAACAUUCUCCGACCUUUGCUCCCUGGUUGUAAAUAGCCCGUUGGCCAUCCCCUUCGGGGAAAGAAGUUAAGCCUAGCUUAAGCUCUUUCCCCGAAGGGGGACAGCUUAGCGCUAAGGUAGUCCUAGUAAGAGACCUCUGGUCACAAUCAGAGGGAAGUAUUAAGCUCCUAAAACGCACAGGUCGUGGCUCGUUGGUCCCCUUCGGGGAAAAGUAACACGUGGCUGCUUUUCAGCUUUUAUGCUAUAAGUAUUGGAGUUUAUCUAGACUACAGCUAGGCUUUAGUCAGUGGUCUACUAAAUUAGGGUCGUAGUCAUCCCCUUCGGGGAAAAGAGCUACUCGUUAAACUCUAUUCCCAAAGAGGGGGGGGCGGAAACUAACAAAAUUAAACUACAUUCCAAUAGACAAUUUUUUGUUGUAAUAGCCAGUUAAAUGGUACAUAGCAUGUGCUGUACUGUGUAUAUUUUUAUAAAACUAUGAAAUUAGCUGUUUACGGAAAAGNGUGGUAUUGGAAAAUCAACAACAAGUUGCAAUAUUUCUAUUGCAUUAGCAAAACGGGAAAAAAGGUGU
Molecule: long non-coding RNA, 863 nt
Filed under: Volvox carteri
Lineage: Eukaryota; Viridiplantae; Chlorophyta; Chlorophyceae; Chlamydomonadales; Volvocaceae
Description: long non-coding RNA (VCAR_LNC004203)
Source: RNAcentral